This 253-nucleotide ribosomal RNA is filed under the name uncultured bacterium. Its description in RNAcentral is "partial 16S ribosomal RNA". It matches the Rfam family "Bacterial small subunit ribosomal RNA", at positions 524 to 776 of the family's 1533-position model. The record is from RNAcentral.
UACGAAGGGGGCUAGCGUUGCUCGGAAUCACUGGGCGUAAAGGGUGCGUAGGCGGGUCUUUAAGUCAGGGGUGAAAUCCUGGAGCUCAACUCCAGAACUGCCUUUGAUACUGAGGAUCUUGAGUUCGGGAGAGGUGAGUGGAACUGCGAGUGUAGAGGUGAAAUUCGUAGAUAUUCGCAAGAACACCAAUUGCGAAGGCAGCUCGCUGGGACGUUACUGACGCUGAGGAGCGAAAGCGUGGGGAGCGAACAGG